GCUCCGUAGGUGAACCUGCGGAGGGAUCAUUACAGAGUUCAUGCCCUAACGGGUAGAUCUCCCACCCUAUGUUAUCAUCACUUUGUUGCUUUGGCGGGCCGUCAGGCCUCGGCUUGGCUACCGGCUCUCGCUGGUAAGCGCCCGCCAGAGAACCCCAAACCCUGAAUAUCAGUGUCGUCUGAGUACUAUAUAAUAGUUAAAACUUUCAACAACGGAUCUCUUAGUUCUG
This 229-nucleotide unclassified non-coding RNA is filed under the name plant metagenome. RNAcentral describes it as "partial contains small subunit ribosomal RNA, internal transcribed spacer 1, and 5.8S ribosomal RNA". The record is from RNAcentral.